CCUACGGGCAGCUGCAGUGGGGAAUAUUGGACAAUGGGCGAAAGCCUGAUCCAGCCAUGCCGCGUGUGUGAAGAAGGCCUUCGGGUUGUAAAGCACUUUCAGUGGGGAAGAAAGCCUUGGGGCUAAUACCCUCGAGGAAGGACAUCACCCACAGAAGAAGCACCGGCUAACUCCGUGCCAGCAGCCGCGGUAAUACGGAGGGUGCGAGCGUUAAUCGGAAUUACUGGGCGUAAAGCGCGCGUAGGCGGUCUGAUAAGCCGGUUGUGAAAGCCCCGGGCUCAACCUGGGAACGGCAUCCGGAACUGUCAGGCUAGAGUGCAGGAGAGGAAGGUAGAAUUCCCGGUGUAGCGGUGAAAUGCGUAGAGAUCGGGAGGAAUACCAGUGGCGAAGGCGGCCUUCUGGACUGACACUGACGCUGAGGUGCGAAAGCGUGGGUAGCAAACAGGAUUAGAUACCCUUGUAGUC
This 465-nucleotide ribosomal RNA is filed under the name Vreelandella stevensii. RNAcentral's name for it is "partial 16S ribosomal RNA". It matches the Rfam family "Bacterial small subunit ribosomal RNA", at positions 338 to 795 of the family's 1533-position model. Lineage: Bacteria; Pseudomonadati; Pseudomonadota; Gammaproteobacteria; Oceanospirillales; Halomonadaceae. The record is from RNAcentral.